Austrofundulus limnaeus is the source of this 839-nucleotide long non-coding RNA. RefSeq lists it as uncharacterized. The record is from RefSeq and is a predicted model, not a curated record. The transcript has 3 exons. NCBI's taxonomy places the organism in Eukaryota, Metazoa, Chordata, Actinopteri, Cyprinodontiformes, Rivulidae.
CCUGAGACCAAAUGAAAAACACAACUCACCUGAGGCCAGGCCAGGUAACACUUGACCAUAGACCAGAUAAUAUGUCUAACCUGAGAUAGACCAGGUAAUAUGUCUCACCUGAGACUAGACCAGGUAAUAUGUCUCACCUGAGACUAGACUAGGUAAUGUCUCACCUGAGACUAGACCAGGUAACAUUUCUCAACUCAGACUAGACCAGGUAAUAUGUCUCAACUGAGACUAGACCAGGUAACGUGUCCCAACUGAGACUAGACCAGGUAAUAUGUCUCACCUGAGACUAGACCAGGUAAUGUCUUGCCUGAGACUAGACCAGGUAACAUGUCCCAACUGAGACUAGACCAGGUAACAUGUCCCAACUGAGACUAGACCAGGUAAUAUGGUUCACCUGAGACUAGACCAGGUAACAUGUCUCAACUCAGACUAGACCAGGUAAUAUGUCUCAACUCAGACUAGACCAGGUAACAUGUCUCAACUCAGACUAGACCAGAUAAUAUGGUUCACCUGAGACUAGACCAGGUAAUGUCUCAACUGAGACUAGACCAGGUAAUUAAGGUUCACCUGAGACUAGACCAGGUAAUAUGUCUCAUCUGAGACUAGAUCAGGUAAUUAUGGUUCACCUGAGACUAGACCAGGUAACAUGUCUCAACUCAGACUAGACCAGGUAAUUAUGGUUCACCUGAGACUAGAACAGGUGACACGUCUCACCUGAGGACCAGACAAACCCUUGACUGAGUGUUUAAAUCUCAGACAUUACCUUUUGUUAAAGAACCUUUGAGGGUUUGGACCUGAGGUUCUGCUUGGUGGUGGUGUAAAACCGUUUGGACCUGAAC